Molecule: ribosomal RNA, 350 nt
Filed under: uncultured Anaerolineaceae bacterium
Lineage: Bacteria; Bacillati; Chloroflexota; Anaerolineae; Anaerolineales; Anaerolineaceae
Description: bacterial SSU rRNA
Rfam family: Bacterial small subunit ribosomal RNA
Source: RNAcentral
UUCGGGGGAGCCUUAGUACAGGUGUUGCAUGGCUGUCGUCAGCUCGUGUCGUGAGAUGUUCGGUUAAGUCCGCUAACGAGCGCAACCCUCGUCGUAUGUUAUAUGUGUCAUACGAGACUGCCGGUAAAAGCCGGAGGAAGGUGAGGAUGAUGUCAAGUCAGCAUGACCUUUAUAUCCAGGGCUACACACACGCUACAAUGGUCUGUACAAUGGGUAGCCAAGCCGCGAGGCGGAGCCAAUCCUGAAAGCAGGCCUCAGUUCAGAUUGCAGUCUGCAACUCGACUGCAUGAAGCCGGAGUUGCUAGUAACCGCAGGUCAGCAAUACUGCGGUGAAUACGUUCCCGGGUCUU